CUCUCUAUUGCUAUUGUUCUUGUUCUGUUGUUCUUGUCUUUUGCUUUAGUUUAUAACAAUAAGAAUUUUCUCUCUCUUUCUCUGCAAUAUUGCUCUAUUUUAUAACACGUUAUCAGCACGAGACUCUACCGUCUCAAGAAGCUCUCUGAGAAGAUUAAGGGCAAUGGGCGAGAAACCAAUUAUCAAUUAACGCUUCUGCUUCAAGAUAAUGGCUCACGAUUCAGGUAUGUUUUCUAUGACGAUUACAUGUAAGAUUAUCAUGUUCAAAAUGCUGUUAUAAACUAAUGUU
Molecule: long non-coding RNA, 289 nt
Filed under: Nicotiana benthamiana
Lineage: Eukaryota; Viridiplantae; Streptophyta; Magnoliopsida; Solanales; Solanaceae
Description: long non-coding RNA (NBEN_LNC036926)
Source: RNAcentral